Molecule: ribosomal RNA, 253 nt
Filed under: uncultured bacterium
Lineage: Bacteria
Description: partial 16S ribosomal RNA
Rfam family: Bacterial small subunit ribosomal RNA
Source: RNAcentral
UACGUAGGUGGCAAGCGUUGUCCGGAAUUAUUGGGCGUAAAGCGCGCGCAGGUGGUUUCUUAAGUCUGAUGUGAAAGCCCACGGCUCAACCGUGGAGGGUCAUUGGAAACUGGGGAACUUGAGUGCAGGAGAGAAGAGUGGAAUUCCACGUGUAGCGGUGAAAUACGUAGAGAUAUGGAGGAACACCAGUGGCGAAGGCGACUCUUUGGCCUGUAACUGACACUGAGGCGCGAAAGCGUGGGGAGCAAACAGG